CCUACGGGAGGCUGCAGUGAGGAAUAUUGGUCAAUGGACGAGAGUCUGAACCAGCCAAGUCGCGUGAAGGAUGACUGCCCUAUGGGUUGUAAACUUCUUUUAUAUGGGAAUAAAAUGUUCCACGUGUGGGCUUUUGUAUGUACCAUAUGAAUAAGGAUCGGCUAACUCCGUUCCAGCAGCCGCGGUAAUACGGAGGAUCCGAGCGUUAUCCGGAUUUAUUGGGUUUAAAGGGAGCGUAGGUGGAUUGUUAAGUCAGUUGUGAAAGUUUGCGGCUCAACCGUAAAAUUGCAGUUGAAACUGGCAGUCUAGAGUACAGGAGAGGGGGGCAGAAUUCGUGGUGUAGCGGUGAAAUGCGUAGAUAUCACGAAGAACUCCGAUUGCGAAGGCAGCUCACUGGACUGCAACUGACACUGAGGCGCGAAAGUGUGGGUAUCAAACAGGAUUAGAUACCCGAGUAGUC
RNAcentral lists this ribosomal RNA (460 nucleotides) under uncultured bacterium. Its description in RNAcentral is "partial 16S ribosomal RNA". It matches the Rfam family "Bacterial small subunit ribosomal RNA", at positions 338 to 795 of the family's 1533-position model. The record is from RNAcentral.